CCAUAUCAAUAAGCGGAGGAAAAGAAACCAACCGGGAUUGCCUCAGUAACGGCGAGUGAAGCGGCAAGAGCUCAAAUUUGAAAGCUGGCUCCUUCGGGGUCCGCAUUGUAAUUUGCAGAGGAUGCUUCGGGUGCGGCCCCUGUCUAAGUGCCCUGGAACGGGCCGUCAGAGAGGGUGAGAAUCCCGUCUGGGAUGGGGUGUCCGCGCCCGUGUGAAGCUCCUUCGACGAGUCGAGUUGUUUGGGAAUGCAGCUCUAAAUGGGUGGUAAAUUUCAUCUAAAGCUAAAUACUGGCCGGAGACCGAUAGCGCACAAGUAGAGUGAUCGAAAGAUGAAAAGCACUUUGAAAAGAGAGUUAAAAAGCACGUGAAAUUGUUGAAAGGGAAGCGCUUGCGACCAGACUCGCCUCCAGGGUUCAGCCGGCAUUCGUGCCGGUGUACUUCCCUGGGGGCGGGCCAGCGUCGGUUUGGGCGGCCGGUCAAAGGCUCCCGGAAUGUAGUGCCCUCCGGGGCACCUUAUAGCCGGGAGUGCAAUGCGGCCAGCCUGGACCGAGGAACGCGCUUCGGCACGGACGCUGGCAUAAUGGUCGUAAACGACCCGUCUUGAAACACGGACCAAGGAGUCUAACAUCUACGCGAGUGUUCGGGUGUCAAACCCGUACGCGCAGUGAAAGCGAACGGAGGUGGGAGCCCCCUCGUGGGGCGCACCAUCGACCGAUCCUGAUGUCUUCGGAUGGAUUUGAGUAAGAGCGUAAAUGUGGGGACCCGAAAGAUGGUGAACUAUGCCUGAAUAGGGCGAAGCCAGAGGAAACUCUGGUGGAGGCUCGCAGCGGUUCUGACGUGCAAAUCGAUCGUCAAAUUUUGGGUAUAGGGGCGAAAGACUAAUCGAACCAUCUAGUAGCUUGGUUCCUG
This 909-nucleotide ribosomal RNA is filed under the name Aspergillus flavus. Its description in RNAcentral is "LSU rRNA". It matches the Rfam family "Eukaryotic large subunit ribosomal RNA", at positions 38 to 960 of the family's 3401-position model. Lineage: Eukaryota; Fungi; Ascomycota; Eurotiomycetes; Eurotiales; Aspergillaceae. The record is from RNAcentral.